This 575-nucleotide small RNA is filed under the name Pan troglodytes (chimpanzee). RNAcentral describes it as "processed transcript". Lineage: Eukaryota; Metazoa; Chordata; Mammalia; Primates; Hominidae. The record is from RNAcentral.
GUUUGCCUUCAACCUGCUGGUGGGCAGUCCCUAAGAAAGAACAGGCAUGGAAGUGGGGAGAGCCAUACGUAUUUAAAAGUGAGUUUCUCUGUUUGAAGAACAUAAGGACAUUUCUCACGGCCUGUUGUGAGACGUUUGGAAUGAGGAAAAGUGAACUUUUCGAGGCAUUUGACCUGUUUGAUGUUCGUGACUUUGGAAAGCCUUAGUUGUUGGGCCAUAUCCUAUCUGAGCUGUGUUCAGAAAUCCUUGACCUCGUCACAUUGGCUUAAGGGUUAUAGAAACAUUAUCACGACUUUCUCGAACACCUAUAGCAUUGGCCACAGGAAUCAGGCCCUUCCCAACAGAAGAAAGCAUUAAUGAUGAAGACAUCUACAAAGGCCUUCCUGAUUUAAUAGAUGAAACCCUUGUGGAAGAUGAAGAAGAUCUCUAUGACUGUGUUUAUGGGGAAGAUGAAGGUGGAGAAGUCUAUGAGGACUUAAUGAAGGCAGAGGAAGCACAUCAGCCCAAAUGUCCAGAAAAUGAUAUACGAAGUUGUUGUCUAGCAGAAAUUAAGCAGACAGAAGAAAAAUAUACAG